GUAGUAUUCCCUCCGUCCCAAAAUUCUUGUCUUACAUUUGUUUAGAUACAGAUGUAUCUAACACUAAAAUGUAACUAGAUACAUCCGUAUUUAGACAAAUUUAGGAUAAGAAUUUUGGGACGGAGGGAGUACAAA
Molecule: non-coding RNA, 135 nt
Organism: Triticum aestivum (bread wheat)
Lineage: Eukaryota; Viridiplantae; Streptophyta; Magnoliopsida; Poales; Poaceae
Source: Rfam